RNAcentral lists this ribosomal RNA (500 nucleotides) under uncultured bacterium. RNAcentral's name for it is "partial 16S ribosomal RNA". It matches the Rfam family "Bacterial small subunit ribosomal RNA", at positions 899 to 1397 of the family's 1533-position model. The record is from RNAcentral.
ACUCAAAGGAAUAGACGGGGGCCCGCACAAGCGGUGGAACAUGUGGUUUAAUUCGACGCAACGCGAAGAACCUUACCUACCCUUGACAUGCUCGGAAUCUGCCAGAGAUGGUGGAGUGCCUUCGGGAACCGAGACACAGGUGCUGCAUGGCUGUCGUCAGCUCGUGUCGUGAGAUGUUGGGUUAAGUCCCGUAACGAGCGCAACCCCUAUUCUUAGUUGCCAACAGGUAAAGCUGGGAACUCUAAGGAGACUGCCGGUGACAAGCCGGAGGAAGGUGGGGAUGACGUCAAGUCCUCAUGGCCCUUACGGGUAGGGCAACACACGUGUUACAAUGGUCAGUACAGAGGGAAGCGAAGUCGCGAGAUGGAGCGAAUCCUUUAAAAGCUGAUCGUAGUCCGGAUUGGAGUCUGCAACUCGACUCCAUGAAGUUGGAAUCGCUAGUAAUCGCGGAUCAGAACGCCGCGGUGAAUACGUUCCCGGGCCUUGUACACACCGCCCGU